This 669-nucleotide ribosomal RNA is filed under the name Salmonella enterica. Its description in RNAcentral is "partial 23S ribosomal RNA". It matches the Rfam family "Bacterial large subunit ribosomal RNA", at positions 2259 to 2925 of the family's 2925-position model. Lineage: Bacteria; Pseudomonadati; Pseudomonadota; Gammaproteobacteria; Enterobacterales; Enterobacteriaceae. The record is from RNAcentral.
UGGUGGGUAGUUUGACUGGGGCGGUCUCCUCCUAAAGAGUAACGGAGGAGCACGAAGGUUGGCUAAUCCUGGUCGGACAUCAGGAGGUUAGUGCAAUGGCAUAAGCCAGCUUGACUGCGAGCGUGACGGCGCGAGCAGGUGCGAAAGCAGGUCAUAGUGAUCCGGUGGUUCUGAAUGGAAGGGCCAUCGCUCAACGGAUAAAAGGUACUCCGGGGAUAACAGGCUGAUACCGCCCAAGAGUUCAUAUCGACGGCGGUGUUUGGCACCUCGAUGUCGGCUCAUCACAUCCUGGGGCUGAAGUAGGUCCCAAGGGUAUGGCUGUUCGCCAUUUAAAGUGGUACGCGAGCUGGGUUUAGAACGUCGUGAGACAGUUCGGUCCCUAUCUGCCGUGGGCGCUGGAGAACUGAGGGGGGCUGCUCCUAGUACGAGAGGACCGGAGUGGACGCAUCACUGGUGUUCGGGUUGUCAUGCCAAUGGCACUGCCCGGUAGCUAAAUGCGGAAGAGAUAAGUGCUGAAAGCAUCUAAGCACGAAACUUGCCCCGAGAUGAGUUCUCCCUGAGACUUUAAGUCUCCUGAAGGAACGUUGAAGACGACGACGUUGAUAGGCCGGGUGUGUAAGCGCAGCGAUGCGUUGAGCUAACCGGUACUAAUGAACCGUGAGGCUUAAC